Molecule: ribosomal RNA, 635 nt
Filed under: uncultured bacterium
Lineage: Bacteria
Description: bacterial SSU rRNA
Rfam family: Bacterial small subunit ribosomal RNA
Source: RNAcentral
AGAGUUUGAUCCUGGCUCAGAGCGAACGCUGGCGGCAGGCUUAACACAUGCAAGUCGAGCGGGCGUAGCAAUACGUCAGCGGCAGACGGGUGAGUAACGCGUGGGAACAUACCUUUUGGUUCGGAACAACACAGGGAAACUUGUGCUAAUACCGGAUAAGCCCUUACGGGGAAAGAUUUAUCGCCGAAAGAUUGGCCCGCGUCUGAUUAGCUAGUUGGUGAGGUAAUGGCUCACCAAGGCGACGAUCAGUAGCUGGUCUGAGAGGAUGAUCAGCCACAUUGGGACUGAGACACGGCCCAAACUCCUACGGGAGGCAGCAGUGGGGAAUAUUGGACAAUGGGCGCAAGCCUGAUCCAGCCAUGCCGCGUGAGUGAUGAAGGCCCUAGGGUUGUAAAGCUCUUUUGUGCGGGAAGAUAAUGACGGUACCGCAAGAAUAAGCCCCGGCUAACUUCGUGCCAGCAGCCGCGGUAAUACGAAGGGGGCUAGCGUUGCUCGGAAUCACUGGGCGUAAAGGGUGCGUAGGCGGGUCUUUAAGUCAGGGGUGAAAUCCUGGAGCUCAACUCCAGAACUGCCUUUGAUACUGAGGAUCUUGAGUUCGGGAGAGGUGAGUGGAACUGCGAGUGUAGAGGUGAAAU